RNAcentral lists this ribosomal RNA (524 nucleotides) under uncultured bacterium. RNAcentral's name for it is "partial 16S ribosomal RNA". It matches the Rfam family "Bacterial small subunit ribosomal RNA", at positions 28 to 523 of the family's 1533-position model. The record is from RNAcentral.
GACGAACGCUGGCGGCGUGCCUAAUACAUGCAAGUCGAACGAAGCUGUUUUAACUGGUGCUUGCACCGACUUAAACAACUGAGUGGCGAACGGGUGAGUAACACGUGGGUAACCUGCCCCAAAGCGGGGGAUAACAUUUGGAAACAGAUGCUAAUACCGCAUAACCACAGAAACCACAUGGUUUCUGUGUCAAAGAUGGGUUCGGCUAUCACUUUGGGAUGGACCGGCGGCGUAUUAGCCAGUUGGGAAGGUAAUGGCUUACCAAGGCAAUGAAACGUAGACGAACUGAGAGGUUGAUCGGCGACAUUGGGACUGAGACACGGCCCAAACUCCUACGGGAGGCAGCAGUAGGGAAUCUUCCACAAUGGACGAAAGUCUGAUGGAGCAACGCCGCGUGAGUGAAGAAGGUUUUCGGAUCGUAAAACUCUGUUGUCAGAGAAGAACGUGUGCGAGAGUAACUGCUCGUGCAGUGACGGUAUCUGGCCAGAAAGCCACGGCUAACUACGUGCCAGCCGCCGCCGUAA